Molecule: long non-coding RNA, 155 nt
Organism: Xiphophorus couchianus (Monterrey platyfish)
Lineage: Eukaryota; Metazoa; Chordata; Actinopteri; Cyprinodontiformes; Poeciliidae
Exons: 3
Source: RefSeq, a predicted model, not a curated record
CCAUGCACACACACACACGCGCCCCCACACCUAGGGAGAAUUUAGAGAGACCAAUUUACCUAACAGUUAUGUUUUUGGACUGUGGGAGGAAGCCGGAGUACCCGGAGAAAAUCCACUCAUGCACAGGGAGAAGAACAUACAAACCCCAGACUCCU